This 1017-nucleotide ribosomal RNA is filed under the name Triticum aestivum (bread wheat). RNAcentral describes it as "partial small subunit ribosomal RNA". Lineage: Eukaryota; Viridiplantae; Streptophyta; Magnoliopsida; Poales; Poaceae. The record is from RNAcentral.
AUGAAAUAUAAGCGAGAGGAGCCUGAUCAGGGGAAGAGGAGUAAGGCACUCACGGAUGAGCAAAAAUUGGAAGCUGCUAAUGCCAAAGGAACUACAUAUCAAGUUGGCAAACAUGAUGGAUCUUCUAUUUACCACACCGAGAAAUGGCUUAUUGACCCAUUGAAAGAGGAUAAGAGAUCCUUUCCAGAAAGGCCUGAGCUCAUGAUGGUCUUAAUAUGGCUAAGCCGGCUCUGGGGUCACCUCAGCAAAAAUGCUGUAGCACUAUCUGAUACUUCCGGUGUGCAACGCGGGUUAUCUAAUGAGAGUCUGAACCUGAAUGUUAAGAAAAAUCUUCUGGUUGCUGGAAUCCAACCUAGAAAUGCUCCUAGUGAGCAUCAUGGUCUUGAGAGGCUUGAAUUAGCUAAAGGACAAAAUGUGGCCCAGCAACACACCGCUUCAACCUUUAUCUUUUGUCCAGAAAGGUCGACUGCUGACCUGUGGUAUUGGGAGGUGUUGCAUCAGAAGUUAGAACAGAAAGACGAGAGCCCAAUAGGUGGCAGUGGUUUCUCCAUGAGGAAGUCUGGUGUAGCUUCAAGGACUGAAGAUGAACUCUGUUAUGGUGAGCCCAGAAGCAGGGUGCCUGUGGCCUUGGGAACUGAUAAUGGCAAAGUGCCCGAAAUCAUGAAAAGGCGUGGCAUCUCUAGAGAGACUGACAGAAUGGAUGCUCGCAAUAAGAAGGCCAAGUUAAUGGUUGCUGAGCAUGAACAAAGACACCGUGUUGACUCAAGUACACAAGGUUCACAUGCUAGCACAAUGGACGAGGCUGACUCUAACACUGAUAUCCUGACAAAUGUGCAUUUCAUGGCAAGGAACAAAGCAAUGUCGAUGCAUUUUGUGAAGUGCGACCCUGAAGGGUAUAUAUUUUCAUACUGUGAACAAUGUUUACCUGAGCUCUCCUUAUAUUGUUUUAAUUCUGAAAGAAAAACAAUAAUCCAUUUUGGUGUUUCUAGGACUGCAUAUGUUACUUUUGCUGACUAG